UCCUGGCUCAGAGCGAACGUUAGCGGCGGGCUUAACACAUGCAAGUCGAGCGAGAAAGGGGCUUCGGCCCUGAGUACAGCGGCGGACGGGUGAAUAACACGUAGGUAACCUUCCUUCCAGCGGGGACAACGGUCCGAAAGGACCGCUAAUACCGCAUACGUUCCCUGGGACCCUGGUCCCGGGGAGGAAAGCUCCGCAAGGGGCACUGGAUGAGGGGCCUGCGUAGCAUCAGCUAGUUGGUGGGGUAAUGGCCUACCAAGGCUAAGACGCUUAGCUGGUCUGAGAGGAUGAUCAGCCACACUGGGACUGAGACACGGCCCAGACUCCUACGGGAGGCAGCAGUGGGGAAUAUUGGACAAUGGGCGCAAGCCUGAUCCAGCCACGCCGCGUGAGUGAUGAAGGCCUUCGGGUCGUAAAGCUCUGUGGGGAGGGACGAAUGGCGCCGUGAAGAGCGGCGAGUGACGGUACCUCCUUAGCAAGCACCGGCUAACUUCGUG
This 497-nucleotide ribosomal RNA is filed under the name uncultured bacterium. RNAcentral's name for it is "bacterial SSU rRNA". It matches the Rfam family "Bacterial small subunit ribosomal RNA", at positions 17 to 507 of the family's 1533-position model. The record is from RNAcentral.